This 562-nucleotide ribosomal RNA is filed under the name uncultured Methanomethylovorans sp. RNAcentral describes it as "bacterial SSU rRNA". It matches the Rfam family "Archaeal small subunit ribosomal RNA", at positions 345 to 907 of the family's 1478-position model. The record is from RNAcentral. Lineage: Archaea; Methanobacteriati; Methanobacteriota; Methanomicrobia; Methanosarcinales; Methanosarcinaceae.
AAACUUUACAAUGCGGGGAACCGCGAUAAGGGGACACCGAGUGCCAGCAUCCUAUGUUGGCUGUCCAUAUGUCUAAAUCACAUGUGUUAGCAAGGGCCGGGCAAGACCGGUGCCAGCCGCCGCGGUAACACCGGCGGCCCGAGUGGUGGCCACUAUUAUUGGGUCUAAAGGGUCCGUAGCCGGUUUGGUCAGUCUUCCGGGAAAUCUGACGGCUCAACCGUUAGGCUUUCGGGGGAUACUACCAGGCUUGGGACCGGGAGAGGUAAGAGGUACUACGGGGGUAGGAGUGAAAUCUUGUAAUCCCUGUGGGACCACCAGUGGCGAAGGCGUCUUACCAGAACGGGUCCGACGGUGAGGGACGAAAGCUGGGGGCACGAACCGGAUUAGAUACCCGGGUAGUCCCAGCUGUAAACUAUGCUCGCUAGGUGUCAGGGACGGUGCGACCGUUUCUGGUGCCGCAGGGAAGCCGUGAAGCGAGCCACCUGGGAAGUACGGUCGCAAGGCUGAAACUUAAAGGAAUUGGCGGGGGAGCACUACAACGGGUGGAGCCUGCCUGCGGUUU